This 275-nucleotide long non-coding RNA is filed under the name Lathyrus oleraceus (garden pea). RNAcentral's name for it is "Pisum sativum (pea) long non-coding RNA (PSAT_LNC020011)". The record is from RNAcentral. Lineage: Eukaryota; Viridiplantae; Streptophyta; Magnoliopsida; Fabales; Fabaceae.
GGCCGGUGCCACGUAUCAGAGGUCUACGGUGAUUUUGUUUCGUGAUAUGAUUCAUCGUGAAAGCAAAUGCCAUGUUGAUGACAUGAUGGCAAAGUCCCAAGCAGAACAGGAGCAUCCGGUAGACUUGGGGCAAGUUGUUUGACCAGUUGAGAUAACUCAUACUUUUAAGUCUGAAUCAGUGCACUUAUGGAGUGUUGUCCAUCAAGCUACCGAGGCUUGUUGUGAGCGAAUCAGAGGAAUCGAGGUCAAUCCUGCUAAAAAAAAAAAAAAAAAAA